Molecule: ribosomal RNA, 261 nt
Filed under: uncultured bacterium
Lineage: Bacteria
Description: partial 16S ribosomal RNA
Rfam family: Bacterial small subunit ribosomal RNA
Source: RNAcentral
UACGAAGGGGGCUAGCGUUGCUCGGAAUCACUGGGCGUAAAGGGUGCGUAGGCGGGUCUUUUAAGUCAGGGGUGAAAUCCUGGAGCUCAACUCCAGAACUGCCUUUGAUACUGAGGAUCUUGAGUACGGGAGAGGUGAGUGGAACUGCGAGUGUAGAGGUGAAAAUUCGUAGAUAUUCGCAAGAACACCAGUGGCGAAGGCGGCUCACUGGCCCCGUUACUGACGCUGAGGCACGAAAAGCGUGGGGGGAGCAAAACAGGG